CUCAAAAAUAGUGAGUUUGUCAAAUCUGAGUGAAAAAAGCCAGAAGAGCCGAGGGGAAACGAGAGAAUGUCAUUUAGGUGAUAUUUUGUAGUAGUGCUAUAAGAAGCUGUCAUGUGAAAUGUGUAAAGUGAAAUGAAUGAAAGGUGUCGAUCUCGGCAUUUAAUUUAUGUUAGAUUUGCUUUAUUACAUUACAUCAGAUUUCUUUUUGAGUGUUGUGAGAUGAUUCUGCGGUCUGCAGUGUUGAGCAUUAUAACCAAUCACACAUGAUCCUCUUGAGUUUAUGAAUGCAAUAUCCAAUCAGAGGCGUUUUGAUUCGUCACUGCAGAGUUGUUUAGUGUGCUCUCUCAGUUUUAGACUGAAGUCAUGAAGCGCUGUGUUUCUUUACGUUAUUUAUUCCCUGUUUGAAUAUCCGUUUUGUUUGUCGUGCUGCUGAAAUAACAAUAUUGUGAAGUCUUCAUUAUCUAAUCUGUAAAAUGGAAUUCAUAAACAGUUCAUGCUUUUCCCCUUGAAACAACACAGAUACAAUUCAAUCAUUCAUAUGCUAUAAAA
Sinocyclocheilus anshuiensis is the source of this 549-nucleotide long non-coding RNA. RefSeq lists it as uncharacterized. The transcript is spliced from 2 exons. NCBI's taxonomy places the organism in Eukaryota, Metazoa, Chordata, Actinopteri, Cypriniformes, Cyprinidae. The record is from RefSeq and is a predicted model, not a curated record.